RNAcentral lists this ribosomal RNA (553 nucleotides) under Kluyveromyces marxianus. RNAcentral's name for it is "partial large subunit ribosomal RNA". It matches the Rfam family "Eukaryotic large subunit ribosomal RNA", at positions 73 to 670 of the family's 3401-position model. The record is from RNAcentral. Lineage: Eukaryota; Fungi; Ascomycota; Saccharomycetes; Saccharomycetales; Saccharomycetaceae.
AUUGCUUAGUAACGGCGAGUGAAGCGGCAAAAGCUCAAAUUUGAAAUCUGGCGUCUUCGACGUCCGAGUUGUAAUUUGAAGAAGGCGACUUUGUAGCUGGUCCUUGUCUAUGUUCCUUGGAACAGGACGUCAUAGAGGGUGAGAAUCCCGUGUGGCGAGGAUCCCAGUUAUUUGUAAAGUGCUUUCGACGAGUCGAGUUGUUUGGGGAAUGCAGCUCUAAGUGGGUGGGAAAUUCCAUCUAAAGCUAAAUAUUGGCGAGAGACCGAUAGCGAACAAGUACAGUGAUGGAAAGAUGAAAAGAACUUUGAAAAGAGAGUGAAAAAGUACGUGAAAUUGUUGAAAGGGAAGGGCAUUUGAUCAGACAUGGCGUUUGCUUCGGCUUUCGCUGGGCCAGCAUCAGUUUUAGCGGUUGGAUAAAUCCUCGGGAAUGUGGCUCUGCUUCGGUAGAGUGUUAUAGCCCGUGGGAAUCAGCCAGCUGGGAUGAGGAUUGCGACUUUUGUCAAGGAUGCUGGCGUAAUGGUUAAAUGCCGCCCGUCUUGAAACACGGACCAAA